RNAcentral lists this ribosomal RNA (430 nucleotides) under Bacillus sp. (in: firmicutes). Its description in RNAcentral is "bacterial SSU rRNA". It matches the Rfam family "Bacterial small subunit ribosomal RNA", at positions 216 to 637 of the family's 1533-position model. Lineage: Bacteria; Bacillati; Bacillota; Bacilli; Caryophanales; Bacillaceae. The record is from RNAcentral.
CUCUUAUGGAUGGACCCGCGUCGCAUUAGCUAGUUGGUGAGGUAACGGCUCACCAAGGCAACGAUGCGUAGCCGACCUGAGAGGGUGAUCGGCCACACUGGGACUGAGACACGGCCCAGACUCCUACGGGAGGCAGCAGUAGGGAAUCUUCCGCAAUGGACGAAAGUCUGACGGAGCAACGCCGCGUGAGUGAUGAAGGCUUUCGGGUCGUAAAACUCUGUUGUUAGGGAAGAACAAGUGCUAGUUGAAUAAUCUGGCACCUUGACGGUACCUAACCAGAAAGCCACGGCUAACUACGUGCCAGCAGCCGCGGUAAUACGUAGGUGGCAAGCGUUAUCCGGAAUUAUUGGGCGUAAAGCGCGCGCAGGUGGUUUCUUAAGUCUGAUGUGAAAGCCCACGGCUCAACCGUGGAGGGUCAUUGGAAACUGGG